Molecule: transfer RNA, 71 nt
Filed under: Loxodonta africana (African savanna elephant)
Lineage: Eukaryota; Metazoa; Chordata; Mammalia; Proboscidea; Elephantidae
Rfam family: tRNA
About the family: Transfer RNA (tRNA) molecules are approximately 80 nucleotides in length. Their secondary structure includes four short double-helical elements and three loops (D, anti-codon, and T loops).
Source: Rfam by way of RNAcentral
GCAUUGGUGGUUCAGUGGUAGAACUCUCACCUUCCACAUGGGAGGCUCAGGUUCGAUUCCCCACUGAUGCA